UAUUCAUAUUGUUCUACCCACAACAAAAACUCCUUAUACAGCUACAUUCUCAUUUCGCUUCCCAUCGAAAUGUAUCAAAUGAAUGAAUAUAAAACUCGUCUUGUAGUCCAUCUAGUCAACUAUUGUAUACUUUUAAUCGUUCUGACUAAAAUACGGUACAUCUCGAUACCACUGUUUCGCUAACGAAGUCUUUCGACUGGGUGCAACAAGGCGUGAUCUCGAACUAAUCUUCCAACAAUUUUGGCCAAAUUUCUGUAGGUUAUGACAUGGAUUAAUUUUGAUAAACAAGUUAUCAUUCGAUGGGUUUUUGAUCAAGGCACCAUUUCUUCUAUUCUCCUUUCGCCCUUAAAGCAAAUUCUGACAAAAUAAUACAUGCAUUUGUUGCACAUUAUACCUACACAUUUCAACAGUGAAAAUCCACCUUUGUCUGUAGACGUUAAAAUGUACUUCAGUUUACUUCCAUAAACGUUAUACAUUUAACCAUCCGAUCUCAUUACACAUUUACGACUUAGCUUACGAUUGAACAUAUAAUUGCGUUGUUUAGUAUGUUAUCGGAUUGAUGGACCGAUCCAGAUAUCUCAAGGUUAACAUUAUUUCCUUAUAACUUCCGGGAUUAAGUAUGUGUCAAAACCUCUGCUACAGCCAGCCAAGCAUGCACUGCUCAUGAUUAUGAACACGCUAAAAACAUGAAAUUGCAUAUCAAAUGAAAUAUACAAGGUGUGCAAUUAAAUAUUCUCCAAAGUGUUCGCUUACUGUUUUUCCAGGUUUUUGCAUAAAAUAUAUUUAUUCACAAUGUACUGGUUAAUAUAAACUCUAGAAAAUGAAAUCUGUAAAAAUAAAAAUAAGCAUGUUUUCAUACACACACUGCACACGCACAGCCACACACUCGGGGGUCUGUUUUACAUUCUCUCCGGUAAUGGUUAAGGGUAAGACUGUGGACGGUCAACCUAAUCACAGGUCUUUAACUACAGAGGGAACGUUAACCCUAAGAGCUUCAAUCAUGGCGGUGUGUAUUAAUUAACCCCUUCAACCUGCUGACCUGGCACUAGAGAUGACAGCAACUGUACAUUGAUGCAAUUCAAGAUUGAAGCUGUCCAAUGUUUCACACCACCUAUAGCCGAGUCCCAGCUCUGUCUGUGCGUGGCAAGGAGUGACAACGUCGGCACAGACAGCGUAGACGCCGGGCCGUCUUUCACCCAUCCAAAAGAGAGGCCUGGAAGAAGACUGGUUUGAUCGAAUUAUUGGUUUAUUCACAUAUUUUUCAUUUCUUUUUUAAUUAAACGCAAGGUGAUUUAUAACAGGGAGUUGGGAGGUCCAAAGGACAGCUCACACAUAGUGUGGAAACAAACAAACAAAAACAAUAACGUUUCACAUCCUUUGUUUAAAAAAAACCCUAUUAGAAACAACAUAAUAUCCAGAACAAUACCAUAGCCUUUACAAUACUCAAAUUCCCAGUUCUCUUUGAGAGUCCAGCGAAGCUUUACAACAGUAUACAAUAUGGCCUCCUUGCUCCUGCCUCCUCCUCGGGAGUUGAUAUAGUCUUACUUUCAAGCUCUCUUUCUUUUUCAUUGUUCUCUUACUGCUCCUCACUUCAAUCCUAUGUUUUGAAGGGCACCCCUGUGUUUCGUUAGCGUCCCGUUGAAUACAGACAUUGGCUUCUCCUUGGUCCUAACCCAUCGCCAGUCAGACGAAGCCUGGGCAGAGUUCCUCCAAAAAGGUUUCUAGUUGUUUUUUUUGUUUUUUUUUCAAGGAGUCCACAGUAAGUAGCAGAUGCUCUUCUCGCUUUAGUCUUGGGUAAGGAAAACACCCGACAAGUCUUUAGUCUUGAGUAAGGAAAUCACCCGACAAGUCUUUAGUCUUGAGUAAGGAAAACACCCUACAAGUCUGUUAUUAUUCAUAUCUCUCAAUCGCUUCUUCUCAUAGAGGGAUCCCUUAGGGUCUACUGGGCUAGGCAGUCCGGCCUUUCGGUGGAGGGAUGAAUAGGGUCGUCCAGGAAUCGGACGCUGGCAGAGGGAACGGGCAGAGGGUCGGUGGAAGGUCUGGGUUCCCCUCUUAUCACUGCAUGGCGUGGAGCAGGCUGUGGAUCUGCCGGGACGGGUGUUGGAGGGGGUGGGGUCUGGGGGGGAUGGGAGCUGCUUGAAGCUGAAGUUGUUGUGGCCGGUCCCUUCUCUCCACCCCCGCCCCCCCCCCGCCCGACAGGCCGCAGAGCAGCCCUGUCAUCGGACAGGUCGUCCCCUGGUAUGCCCUGCAGUCCUGAAGGAGAGGAACAAAAUGGCGGAUCAGUGGGGGGGGUUUUGUACAGGAAGUCUGUAUGAAUGUAACAUUUCUUUCUUUAACAAACAUUGAAGUAGAACUGGACCGCAUUUCAGAUUUGGAUGGGAUAAGAACCAAGCUCAUUAGACAUGCAUUAUUCAGAAUUCAAGGUCAGUGGCUGCUGCUAUUGGCCGGAGCUAAUAGGGGUCCAAAUAAAAUACAGAAUUAAUUCAUACGUUGAAAUAUGCAUAGAGCAAACACUGACUGGCAAUUCAGCUGACCUAGAAUGACCGAUGCAGAGGACAGCAUUAAAAGCAACAGUAAGAAAAGCUGUUUACACUCCCCCGGACGGAGUCAGUAUUCACUGCUGUAACUGGCCCUCCCUCUCAUUCCUUUUCUCCAUCUAUUACCUCACUGGCUCUGCAGAUUGUUUGGGGAGCGACUGCAAUCUUAUCGGCCGGCCCAUGUUGACGCAUUCAUAAUUUUCGCCCAGGUGCUGGCGUUUAUAUGAUCAUGUCCAGGCAACAGACGAGUCGUCAAACAACAAUCGACUAGAGUGCACCCUUGUGCUACUGGCUGCCCAUUUCCCUGAGGGUGGGGACAGCACUCUCUGAGAACAUCUUUAGCACUAGAGACAGGAAACAUCUGUAAUAAAAUCAGCCCUUUGGAGACCCUAGAUAGGGACUACCUCUGACCCAAGACUACCUCUGACCCAAGACUACCUCUGUUCCAAGACUACCUCUGUUCCAAGACUACCUCUGACCCAAGACUACCUCUGUUCCAAGACUACCUCUGUUCCAAGGAACCCUUUUUGAAAAGUAGUGUAAUCACAUAGGAAAUAGUGUGUAAUAUAGCCAGGGACUUGGGCUUGUCGUAAUCUUAUGCAAGUCUGCCCUUCCCCAAGGUCACUGGAGGGGCGUGUGUGAGAGAUACCGUCACACGUUUUAGUGUGGGUUUAGUGUGUGUGAGCUAAUCCAGUAUUCUCCGUAAUGCCUCUUUAAGUACAGUGUGAGGGCACAGCCAAACACAGGUUCACUGAGAUCUACUCCAACUGAAACACAGGUUAACUGAGAUCUAUUCCAACUGAAACACAGGUUCACUGAGAUCUCCUGGAAUUGAAACAAAGCUUCACUAAGAUUUACUCCAACUGAAAAACAGUUUCACUGAGAUCUACUCCAACUUAAACACAGGUUCACUGAGAUCUCCUGGAACUGAAACACAGGUUUACUGAGAUCUACUCCAACUGAAACACAGGUUAACUGAGAUCUACUCCAACUGAAACACAGGUUUACUGAGAUCUACCCCAACUGAAACACAGGUUCACAGAGAUCUACUUGAACUGAAACAUAGUUUCACUGAGAUCUACUUCAAAUGAAACAGUUUCACCGAUAUUCAAUCCAACUGAAACAGAUUUACUGAGAUCUACAAUGCAAACAAAGCUUCACUGAGACCUACGUCAACUGAAACACAGUUUCACAGAUAUCUAAUCCAACUGAAACACAGCUUCACUGAGACCUAUUGCAACUGAAAUAGAUGUACCUAGAUCUAUUGCAACUGAAACACAAGUUCACUGAGAUCUACUUCAACUGAAAUAGAUUUACCUAGAUCUAUUGCAACUGAAACACAAGUUCACUGAGAUCUACUUAAACAGGUUUACAGAGAUCUACCCCAACUGUAACACAUGUUCUCUGCAAUAUUUUUCAAUGUUGAUUGGCCAAUAAAGCUUUCUUAUGUUUGUUUAAAGGCAUUAACCCAACCUCAGAAUAACCCACACUGAGACAGAAGGACAGUAGGAAAGACAAGAGUAAUUCUACUGAGACGCUUUGUAAGAUAUUGUAAAUAGACUGGACACAUUUGCCUCAAGGUAAGAUUUAAUAUUGUAUUUCUAUAAAUAACUCAAUGCAUCAGGUCCGCAAAUAAGGGAAAAAUAAUCUGUCACAAGAUCAGCAUCACAGUGAAACCUCUAGGCCACUGCACACUAGCCAAGCCCAGGCUCAGCAGGGAAAGAUGAGGUAAAAGAAUCCACAAUUUCUCUGUGCACUCCUGCUUUCUGUCACUGCACCUCCCUCUUCCUUCUCUCUAUCUCUCUCUUUGGGAACAAUGGAGUCAUGAGCCUUGGAGAAUAGCACCUAUCUCUGGGUGAGUACAGGCCACAGUGGAAACUCAACCAUUGUGCUCAGAUUAAAGAGAGACAGGGAGGGAUAUACACACUCGCAAAUAAACACACACACACACACACACACACACACACACCCUGUCCUAUAGGCUGAUACCUGAGAUGGCACAACUCUGUCGACGCGUGCCCCCCC
Esox lucius (northern pike) is the source of this 4562-nucleotide long non-coding RNA. Lineage: Eukaryota; Metazoa; Chordata; Actinopteri; Esociformes; Esocidae. The record is from Ensembl.